This 429-nucleotide ribosomal RNA is filed under the name bacterium. RNAcentral's name for it is "partial 16S ribosomal RNA". It matches the Rfam family "Bacterial small subunit ribosomal RNA", at positions 355 to 776 of the family's 1533-position model. The record is from RNAcentral.
UAGGGAAUCUUCCACAAUGGACGCAAGUCUGAUGGAGCAACGCCGCGUGAGUGAAGAAGGUUUUCGGAUCGUAAAGCUCUGUUGUUGGUGAAGAAGGAUAGAGGCAGUAACUGGUCUUUAUUUGACGGUAAUCAACCAGAAAGUCACGGCUAACUACGUGCCAGCAGCCGCGGUAAUACGUAGGUGGCAAUCGUUGUCCGGAUUUAUUGGGCGUAAAGCGAGCGCAGGCGGAAUGAUAAGUCUGAUGUGAAAGCCCACGGCUCAACCGUGGAACUGCAUCGGAAACUGUCAUUCUUGAGUGCAGAAGAGGAGAGUGGAAUUCCAUGUGUAGCGGUGGAAUGCGUAGAUAUAUGGAAGAACACCAGUGGCGAGGGCGGCUCUCUGGUCUGCAACUGACGCUGAGGCUCGAAAGCAUGGGUAGCGAACAGG